This 458-nucleotide ribosomal RNA is filed under the name uncultured bacterium. Its description in RNAcentral is "partial 16S ribosomal RNA". It matches the Rfam family "Bacterial small subunit ribosomal RNA", at positions 338 to 795 of the family's 1533-position model. The record is from RNAcentral.
CCUACGGGAGGCAGCAGUGGGGAAUAUUGCACAAUGGGGGAAACCCUGAUGCAGCGACGCCGCGUGAGUGAAGAAGUAAUUCGUUACGUAAAGCUCUAUCAGCAGGGAAGAAACACUGACCUUACGGUCAGCAGACGGUACCUGAGUAAGAAGCCCCGGCUAACUACGUGCCAGCAGCCGCGGUAAUACGUAGGGGGCAAGCGUUAUCCGGAUUUACUGGGUGUAAAGGGAGCGUAGACGGCCAUGCAAGUCUGAUGUGAAAAUCCGGGGCUCAACCCCGGGACUGCAUUGGAAACUGUGCGGCUGGAGUGUCGGAGAGGCAAGUGGAAUUCCUAGUGUAGCGGUGAAAUGCGUAGAUAUUAGGAGGAACACCAGUGGCGAAGGCGGCUUGCUGGACGACGACUGACGUUGAGGCUCGAAAGCGUGGGGAGCAAACAGGAUUAGAUACCCCAGUAGUC